AAUAGGAUAAGUCUUACCAUUUUAUUGAUCUGUUUGAAUUUAUUUUAAAAAAAUAUUUGAAACGAACCAAUUACAAAAUGGUACAUAUGUGUUGUCAAAAAAUUGUCAAAAAAAAAAAAAAAUUAUUAAAGAGAGUUUUUCCCUUUUCUUAUAAACUACAUAACGUGAUAUUUAAAGUACGUGGUGUAAGUCAGAUCCACAAUUCACUAACAAAAAACCAAGAUAAAAAAUUUAACUAAUCAAACCCUAGAAUAAAAAAAUAAUCAC
RNAcentral lists this long non-coding RNA (267 nucleotides) under Vigna radiata. RNAcentral's name for it is "long non-coding RNA (VRAD_LNC017987)". Lineage: Eukaryota; Viridiplantae; Streptophyta; Magnoliopsida; Fabales; Fabaceae. The record is from RNAcentral.